GGUGUAGCCCAGUGGUAGAGUGCAUCUGUUGUAUGUAUGAUGUCCUGGGUUCAAUCCCCAGGUCGCCG
RNAcentral lists this transfer RNA (68 nucleotides) under Dallia pectoralis (Alaska blackfish). RNAcentral's name for it is "tRNA-Thr". Lineage: Eukaryota; Metazoa; Chordata; Actinopteri; Esociformes; Umbridae. The record is from RNAcentral.